Molecule: ribosomal RNA, 493 nt
Filed under: uncultured bacterium
Lineage: Bacteria
Description: partial 16S ribosomal RNA
Rfam family: Bacterial small subunit ribosomal RNA
Source: RNAcentral
AUUGAACGCUGGCGGCAUGCUUUACACAUGCAAGUCGAACGGUAACAGGUUAAGCUGACGAGUGGCGAACGGGUGAGUAAUGCAUCGGAACGUGCCCGAUCGUGGGGGAUAACGCAGCGAAAGCUGCGCUAAUACCGCAUACGAUCUGAGGAUGAAAGCGGGGGACCGUAAGGCCUCGCGCGAUCGGAGCGGGCGAUGUCAGAUUAGGUAGUUGGUGGGGUAAAGGCUCACCAAGCCAACGAUCUGUAGCUGGUCUGAGAGGACGACCAGCCACACUGGGACUGAGACACGGGCCAGACUCCUACGGGAGGCAGCAGUGGGGAAUUUUGGACAAUGGGCGAAAGCCUGAUCCAGCAAUGCCGCGUGCAGGAAGAAGGCCUUCGGGUUGUAAACUGCUUUUGUACGGAGCGAAAAGGUCUCCUCUAAUACAGGGGGCUCAUGACGGUACCGUAAGAAUAAGCACCGGCUAACUACGUGCCAGCCGCCGCCGUAA